UGAAGUGCUAUUAGCAUUGAGUUAGAUGAAUAUUAAGUUAAUUGAAUUUAGGUGUCAUUGAAAUGAAUGGAGCAAGUUUGAACAGUGGAACAGAUUCCCUUCGGAGGUUGUGGACUCUCCUUCAUUGGAGGUUUUUAAGCAGGAGUUUGAUGAGAUUCCUGCAUUGCAGGGGGUUGGACUAGAUGACCCUUGGGGUCCCUUCCAACCCCUUGAUUAUAUCAUUCUAAGUUAGUUCCCAUUGAAAUGAAUGGGACUUCUAAUUCGUAAGUCCAACUAAAUCCAGGUCAGUAUCUCUUUGGCACCAUUGUCCAUGCAGCAAAGGCUGCCUUGAAUUAUUUUCCUGAGAGAUCUGCCACACGUACCGUUCCUCCCAGCCAUUGUCAAUUGAACCUGCUGACUACUGUAACUGGAAUGGUAGUCUUUCUUCUCUACAUAGCCCUGGGAAUUUUCCAAAAUGAAAGGGUAGCAGUUUAUAGGCUACUGCUAUUUGGGCUGCCAGUGCAUUAAAACCCUUAUCUACAUAUGCUCUGCUAGCUGUAGCAGUAGGCUCUCCUGGCCUCUGGGCUAUGGCAUUAGCUGUAAUGCAGGAGGUGCUAUAAGCUUGUCUUAGCAAUACGUUUGUGCUGUGUUUAGCUGAGAUCAUGAGAUAGAUUAAAUGAUGUCACCAGUGGAGGAGGGUCCACUUGGGCUAGUAGGACACAGCCCAUCCAAAGAGAAUGUCAAGUAGUGUGCUGUAGUGGUUAAGAGUGUUGACCUGGAGACCAGGAUUCAAAUCUCCACUCAGACAUAAAGCUCACUGGUUGACUUUAAGUCUCUUAGCUUAACCUAUGUACCUCACAGGUUUCUCUUCAGUGAAAACAUGUUCCCCUCUUUAUUUUCAACUUUCUUGGGCACAUGCAACUAACCACAAUUACCUUGAAUUUCUGCUUAACCCUCAAGAAAGAAGGGCAUUUUCGCUGGCCAGGUUUAAUUCAAAUCCAUCAAACCUCCUUUGGGGAAGGUUCUCAGGCAGGGUGGAAGGAGAAAGAACUUGCCCAUGUGAAGACCACCUGGUGGAAACCCUUACACAUAUGGUUCUUAAUUGUAAACUAUAUGCUGAUCUCUGUCAGCAGUUUCUAGAUCAACUCUGUAUCCCCAAAUGGAAACCAGAGUUGGAGGUCAUACAUUUUCUAUUACUGGGGAAUGAUCAGGAGCUCACCAAGUUAGUGGCUAAAUAUCUCUAUUUGGUUUUCUGUCGUCGAAAUAUACUGCAGACAUCUGAUCUCCCUGGAGACCUAGCGAUGUGAUGAUAGACUGCUCUGCCUCCUAAAUAUUUUGUGCCACUGGGGAAGUGGUAAUUCUGUACUGAUUUGUUUUUGAUGUUUGUAUGUGAUGCCAAUAAAAGGUUUGAUUAUUAUGAUGAUGUACCUCACAGGAUUAUUGUAAGAACAAAAAGGAGAGGAGGAGAAAUGUGUGUGCCACCUUGACCUCCUUGGAGGAAAGAGGGGAUAUAAGUGUAAAAAUGAAUGAAGCUAUUUUUAAAAACAAAUUCCACCCCAAAUCUCAAAGCCACAUGCUCUUUCAACACACAUUUUAUACUUCUAUUUGGACUCAGAGACACUCUGCAAAUAUUUCUGUCCGAACCCAAAAAUAUAGCUAUGGCAGAAAAUGUGGGGUGCGAAGCGGUGAGACUUGUUCUAGGAGAAUGUGGAUAGAAGUGGCCAAGGAUGUAUAUCCACAGCAUUUGCACAGAAUUCAACAUGUGCUCACAUGCCCCAAAUGGUUGGCAACCCCUACACUGAUGAUUGGGGAUAACAGCAGCCAUCUGUAGGAUUGUCCUGCCUGUCUUCUUUUUCCAUUUAUUUUAUUAUUCAAGGGGUCUUACCCAGUGCUAUUUUUCUAGAAAAAGAAGUGUCCGAACUCACCAUGAAUGCCUCCCUUGUUCUCUUAUAAUGGCAACGGCGCCCACCUGAGAGGUGCCAGAACUGACUACUGGUAUGUUCUGGCUGGAAAAAAGCCCUGGUCUAACCACCACCCUGAAUCAUCCAUGCCUAGUCACAGGAGCAAAAUGGCAAAUGUCUCCCUUUCUCAAAGACAACAGUUGCACGUAUGUCUCUAAUAAAGGUAGCUAUUCUUUCUACUUUGCAUAUAGCACUGCUGAUGAUGAACAACUUGUACGAGACUACCUGCUGUUGGUUCCCUUUGUUCCUACUCUCUUGCCUUCAUGUUUCCAAACCAAUUUCCCCUCUGCUUUUAAACUCCUUCUCACAGUGCAUUUCUUUCCUAUACUAUUUCCAAAACCACUACAAUAGUCUCAGCUAUUCUGUGCUAUCUACACAAGUGGGAAAGAACUAAGCAGUCACACCAGUAAUUGACAGUCAUUCUUUAUGUGUUGCUACCUGGCAAAUAAUUGUUUAGGGUCAGAUCUAAGGGCAGUUGUGUCACUGUGGUGUCACAGUUUGUGGUAAUGUGCUGACAUCAUCAUGAGUCAGUCCAAGACACUAGACCAGCAAAGUCAUGAUGGUGGACACUACUGUAUCAGCACUAGUUCCCAAUUUGAGAUAAGGAACUUUGUUAUCUAAAUCAUUAGUGACACUGAAACAAAGGCGCCAUCAGCACUAUACAAUUAAAGCCGUAAUGGCUUCCCUCAAAGAAUCCUGGGAAAUGUAGUUUGCUAAAGGUGUUGAGUGUUGUUAGGAGACCCUUAUUUGCCUGACAGAGCUGAAGUUCCCCGACUUCCAUGGGAGGAGGGACUGGCUGUUAUACUGCUAUGGAAAUGGUAGGUUUAGGAGGGGAAUAGGAGAAGAAAAACUAUUAUUAUUAUUAUUAUUAUUAUUAUCAACAACAACAACAACAUCAACAUCAUCAAAAUUUAAAUAUCACCCUUCACCCAAAGAUCACAGGACAGUGGCCAUCAGCAGGACAGAAUGGAUUUAGCCACUUGCUAUGUGAAAGUUGUUCUUUGGCAACUGACACUUUGCCCAUUUGUGCUUAACAACACAGUAAUUCUGAGUCCUGAUGCUCAUCACCAGAAGUAUUCUAAUGAUGAGUUGUCAUGAAUAAUCUUCAUAACAAAUGCAUGCAUAUUCUUCCCAUUAUCCACAAUCAAAAUUAUGCCCAGCAGGUUAAACAGAUUGUGAUUCUAUGAGACUGGCCCUAAUUAGUGGGGAGGAGCUUAGGCUUUAAAACCUGGGAACCAUUAGAACCAAAAUUUUGGGAGCUAUCAAAGAAGAGUCCUUGGGAUUAAAGAUUCACACCAUGCCUGCUGUUAAUUCUGGACAAUCUUUCUUUCCAUCAUUGCCAAGGAUAUACAAAUGCCCAGCUCAUAAACCCAAGGUUGCAUGCUGAUUAUUUUGAGAUCAUCCAGACAAGAAAAUGGAAGAUUGGAUCAAAAUGGGAAUAGGCAUAUUUUCAAGGUAGGUUUAGAUAUCAUUUCUGUAUGGCAUACAUGUUUGUGACACAGUAUAAAGUACCCAAGAAGCUAGCUAGACCUGUUCAGAAAACCAGCAGAUUAGAUAAUCCGGAGGCCCUACAUAGCCUAUGUUAAGUGGACCAAAGGUGAAAAAGAUGAAGCUUUGGGUGUAGCCUGGUUCACAGGCGUUGGUAAUCGCAGCCUAUGGAUCCAAGGUGUUAUAUUUAAUGCUGUAAAUAUUACACAAGGGGUAAAACUAUGGACAAAUGAGUAUUAAGACAAGCUUAGAAAAGACUUGACCUUGGUAAAUAGCAAUCUUACAAAUGAUGAGAAAUACUUUGGAAACCUUGUUAUGAUUUUUACACUACUUAUAAUUAUAAAAAUUACCACUCAGAAGGUGUGAUGCAAAAUAAAGCAGUAAAUUAAGACAAAACAUACCAGCAGAGAUUUCAUUAUCUAGUGAUGAUAUAUCUGUAGCCUGAGCCCAUGAGACUGACAUGUUCAUUUUUCAUUAAAUACUUUGAUUUAUUAUAUUUAUAUCCUACUUUUCUUCAAGGAGCUCAAGGUGGCAUACAUGGUUCUCCCUCUUUCCAUUUUAUCCUACCAAGCCCAGGUUAGGCUGAGAGACAGUGAUUGGCCAAAGGCCUCCCAAUGAGCUUCAUGGCCGAGUAAGGAUUUGGACCUGGUCUCCUGGUUGUGAGGAAGGCAGUGUUUUCUCCUUGCUUUUCUUUCCCCAAAUUUGAAUCUGAUCUUGCAAGGGGUAGAGUUAUGAAUUAAUAUGGGGAAACCUAGGUUCUACCUUCUGUAGGACAAGGAGAAGUAUCAUAAGAAAUGCAAAUAGAAUUCUAUGGGGGCUAAAUGCCAAUAUCUGCAUGUGCAUGUUCACUCAUCCCUUUAGUCACAGGGGCAUCCACUCCACAGAAGUUAGAAACAUCUCUCAAUCAGUAUUGGUAGAAUGGCAGAAAUACAGAUUGGAGUAAGGAAGACCAAAUAAUGUUUCACUAGAGCAGAGAGCUAUCUCAUCCUUCAGUCCUAACAGCAAGUCAAUAGUGGUUUCCCAAUCCUAUAUCCUGUGGAUAAGAGGAGAGUUAAAUAAGAUGUGCCUUGUGUUUGGAACUGCAAUCCAUAUGCUUACAAAAAACUGGAGGCUUUAAUGUUCACAACUGUACCAUAUUAAAAAGAAGUCUCAUGAAGCAAAUAAUAUUUAUAAAAAACCACUAAACUGAUACAGUACUACAGAAAGCAAGAUUCCCCCAUUCCAGAAUUGAUAAGUAUUCAUUAUGUUGUGAUGAAUAUAAGGCGUAAACACAAUCCUAUACAAGUCUACUCAGAAGCAUGGCCCACUGAGUUCAAAGAGUCAAGUGUGUAUAUAUAGCCUUACAGCCAAGAGGUGGCUUUUUUUCUUUGAAGGGAAAUAUGAAUAAUUUAAUUUUAG
Molecule: non-coding RNA, 4826 nt
Organism: Podarcis lilfordi (Lilford's wall lizard)
Lineage: Eukaryota; Metazoa; Chordata; Lepidosauria; Squamata; Lacertidae
Source: the annotation of a GenBank genome assembly